Molecule: long non-coding RNA, 579 nt
Organism: Bacillus rossius redtenbacheri
Lineage: Eukaryota; Metazoa; Arthropoda; Insecta; Phasmatodea; Bacillidae
Exons: 3
Source: RefSeq, a predicted model, not a curated record
ACCGGUGAAGCCGAAUGCUUAGGCCUUGUGUUUGUAUGUAUUCAAGUGCUCAGGUCUUGUAUUGGCAUUGUUGUGUGCCGUGGUGAAGCCAUGUUUCCGGUCUAAUGUUGGCAUGGUGUUGCUCUUUGGUGAAGCUGUUCGCUCGUUUCAUUUGUUAGCAUAGUUUGCGCCCUGCUGAAGACGUGUUCCCAGAUAUUGUGUUUGCGUGUAUUUGCGCCCUUGUGAAGCUGUGUGGUCAGACAAGCAACUCAAUGCGGCUGGCCACCAGCAAGCCUGUCAUUGGCCGACCAGCCCCAGUCAACCAGACACCAGGGUAUAAAAGCACCUGCAUCCUCUGCACCAGUCAGUCAGACUUGGUCUACCUUAUGAUGGCAGCUGCGAUGACUGCCGAAACGUCGCAAGACGAUUACAUGCCACGGCCUACACCCAGAAGCCAAGAAAAUGCAGGAUUUACUGAACAGCCAAGUGAGGCGAAUUCUUUCCUGUUUCCAGGCACAUUGCAGAAGCCUAACAAUGCGCAUUGUAAGUGAUGACAUUUUUUAUAGGUGUUUUGUAAGUAAAUUCAAAGAAUGUGUAGCA